CCUACGGGUGGCAGCAGUCGAGAAUCAUUCACAAUGGGGGAAACCCUGAUGGUGCGACGCCGCGUGGGGGAAUGAAGGUCUUCGGAUUGUAAACCCCUGUCAUGUGGGAGCAAAUUAAAAAGAUAGUACCACACGAGGAAGAGACGGCUAACUCUGUGCCAGCAGCCGCGGUAAUACAGAGGUCUCAAGCGUUGUUCGGAAUCACUGGGCGUAAAGCGUGCGUAGGCGGUUUCGUAAGUCGUGUGUGAAAGGCGCGGGCUCAACCCGCGGACGGCACAUGAUAAUGCGAGACUAGAGUAAUGGAGGGGGAACCGGAAUGUUCGGUGUAGCAGUGAAAUGCGUAGAGAUCGAGAGGAACACUCGUUGCGAAGGCGGGUUCCUGGACAUUAACUGACGCUGAGGCACGAAGGCCAGGGGAGCGAAAAGGAUUAGAUACCCGGGUAGUC
This 446-nucleotide ribosomal RNA is filed under the name uncultured bacterium. Its description in RNAcentral is "partial 16S ribosomal RNA". It matches the Rfam family "Bacterial small subunit ribosomal RNA", at positions 338 to 795 of the family's 1533-position model. The record is from RNAcentral.